GAUGACCGCUGGCGGCGUGCUUAACACAUGCAAGUCGAACGAAGCACCUUGAUUUGAUUCUUCGGAUGAAGAUCUUGGUGACUGAGUGGCGGACGGGUGAGUAACGCGUGGGUAACCUGCCUCAUACGGGGGGAUAACAGUUAGAAAUGACUGCUAAUACCGCAUAAGACCACAGCACCGCAUGGUGUAGGGGUAAAAACUCCGGUGGUAUGAGAUGGACCCGCGUCUGAUUAGGUAGUUGGUGGGGUAACGGCCUACCAAGCCGACGAUCAGUAGCCGACCUGAGAGGGUGACCGGCCACAUUGGGACUGAGACACGGCCCAAACUCCUACGGGAGGCAGCAGUGGGGAAUAUUGCACAAUGGGGGAAACCCUGAUGCAGCGACGCCGCGUGAGCGAUGAAGUAUUUCGGUAUGUAAAGCUCUAUCAGCAGGGAAGAAAAUGACGGUACCUGACUAAGAAGCACCGGCUAAAUACGUGCCAGCAGCCGCGGUAAUACGUAUGGUGCAAGCGUUAUCCGGAUUUACUGGGUGUAAAGGGAGCGUAGACGGAGUGGCAAGUCUGAUGUGAAAACCCGGGGCUCAACCCCGGGACUGCAUUGGAAACUGUCAAUCUAGAGUACCGGAGAGGUAAGCGGAAUUCCUAGUGUAGCGGUGAAAUGCGUAGAUAUUAGGAGGAACACCAGUGGCGAAGGCGGCUUACUGGACGGUAACUGACGUUGAGGCUCGAAAGCGUGGGGAGCAAACAGGAUUAGAUACCCUGGUAGUCCACGCCGUAAACGAUGACUACUAGGUGUCGGGCAGCAAAGCUGUUCGGUGCCGCAGCAAACGCAAUAAGUAGUCCACCUGGGGAGUACGUUCGCAAGAAUGAAACUCAAAGGAAUUGCCGGGGGCCCGCACAAGCAGUGGAGUAUGUGGUUUAAUUCGAAGCAACGCGAAGAACCUUACCAGGUCUUGACAUCGUAUGCAUAGUCUAGAGAUAGAUGAAAUCCCUUCGGGGACAUAUAGACAGGUGGUGCAUGGUUGUCGUCAGCUCGUGUCGUGAGAUGUUGGGUUAAGUCCCGCAACGAGCGCAACCCUUACCAUUAGUUGCUACGCAAGAGCACUCUAAUGGGACUGCCGUUGACAAAACGGAGGAAGGUGGGGAUGACGUCAAAUCAUCAUGCCCCUUAUGACCUGGGCUACACACGUACUACAAUGGCAAUAAAACAGAGGGAAGCAAAACAGCGAUGUGGAGCAAAUCCCGAAAAAUUGUCUCAGUUCAGAUUGCAGGCUGAAACUCGCCUGCAUGAAGUCGGAAUUGCUAGUAAUCGCAGAUCAGCAUGCUGCGGUGAAUACGUUCCCGGGCCUUGCACA
RNAcentral lists this ribosomal RNA (1354 nucleotides) under uncultured bacterium. RNAcentral's name for it is "bacterial SSU rRNA". It matches the Rfam family "Bacterial small subunit ribosomal RNA", at positions 28 to 1387 of the family's 1533-position model. The record is from RNAcentral.